CGGACAGUGUCUGGUGGGUAGUUUGACUGGGGCGGUCUCCUCCUAAAGAGUAACGGAGGAGCACGAAGGUUAGCUAAUCCUGGUCGGACAUCAGGAGGUUAGUGCAAAGGCAUAAGCUAGCUUGACUGCGAGAGUGACGGCUCGAGCAGGUGCGAAAGCAGGUCUUAGUGAUCCGGUGGUUCUGAAUGGAAGGGCCAUCGCUCAACGGAUAAAAGGUACUCCGGGGAUAACAGGCUGAUACCGCCCAAGAGUUCAUAUCGACGGCGGUGUUUGGCACCUCGAUGUCGGCUCAUCACAUCCUGGGGCUGAAGUAGGUCCCAAGGGUAUGGCUGUUCGCCAUUUAAAGUGGUACGCGAGCUGGGUUUAGAACGUCGUGAGACAGUUCGGUCCCUAUCUGCCGUGGGCGCUGGAGAAUUGAGGGGGGCUGCUCCUAGUACGAGAGGACCGGAGUGGACGCAUCACUGGUGUUCGGGUUGUCAUGCCAAUGGCAUUGCCCGGUAGCUAAAUGCGGAAGAGAUAAGUGCUGAAAGCAUCUAAGCACGAAACUUGCCCCG
Molecule: ribosomal RNA, 554 nt
Filed under: Citrobacter freundii
Lineage: Bacteria; Pseudomonadati; Pseudomonadota; Gammaproteobacteria; Enterobacterales; Enterobacteriaceae
Description: partial 23S ribosomal RNA
Rfam family: Bacterial large subunit ribosomal RNA
Source: RNAcentral